RNAcentral lists this ribosomal RNA (468 nucleotides) under uncultured bacterium. RNAcentral's name for it is "partial 16S ribosomal RNA". It matches the Rfam family "Bacterial small subunit ribosomal RNA", at positions 28 to 507 of the family's 1533-position model. The record is from RNAcentral.
GACGAACGCUGGCGGCGUGCUUAACACAUGCAAGUCGAACGGAAAGGCCUUGCUUUUGUGGGAUGCUCGAGUGGCGAACGGGUGAGUAACCCGAGAGUAACCUGCCCUUGACUUUGGGAUAACUACAGGAAACUGGGGCUAAUAUAGGAUAGGAGCUCCUGCUGCAUGGUGGGGGUUGGCACGCUGCGGCGGUUGGGGAUGGGCUCGGGGCUUAUCAGCUUGUUGGUGGGGCAGUGGAUUACCAAGGCUUUGACGGGUAGCCGGCCUGAGAGGGUGAACGGCGACAUGGGGACUGAGAGACGGCCCAGACUCCUACGGGGGGCAGCAGUGGGGAAUAUUGCACAAUGGGCGGAAGCCUGAGGCAGCAACGUCGCGUGCGGGAUGACGGCCUUCGGGUUGUAAACCGCUUUCGCCUGAGACGAAGCGGGAGUGACGGUAAUGGGUAAAGAAGCACCGGCUAACUACGUG